Molecule: long non-coding RNA, 1282 nt
Organism: Astatotilapia calliptera (eastern happy)
Lineage: Eukaryota; Metazoa; Chordata; Actinopteri; Cichliformes; Cichlidae
Source: Ensembl
CAUUUAAAGUGCGAUAAGUCAAAGUCCCAGUGGUGAAAGUAAAGGGCGCACCAAAGCUGCAGUCUCUGUGGUAAAAAUAUACCUUAAGGUGUGAAUAUGGGGGGGUUAGGUUCUUGAUUAAACUUUUCAGGAAAGGUAACUUCUUAGUAAUCGAUGGAGUUCAACUAGUGGAACAUGUAAUAAUCAUCACGCCUUAUUUGGUGCUUUCCCCCUGUGACGUGGUCAUGGGUGAGUUGUAUAAGUACCAACAGUAGUAAGACUAUCUAGGGAAUUUACCUUAUUCUACUCAAGCUGACACUUCUAGCUCCGGAGCUCUUUGAAAGACAUGAAGAACUUUGGUAUUGAGUGUCUUACACUGUUGAUGAUAGCUGUGAUGGUCUAUGCAGCACCAAUCAACCCGUGUGAAGACAAAAGGCUGAAGCUGAAGCAAAUUAGAGAACAUGCCAACAAGGCAUUAAAAGAUCAUCUGCCUGACUUCAAUGUGCCUAAGAUAGAAAAAUGUGUGGAAAAAUUCUUCUGCUUAGCUGACAAGGCGCUGAACAAAUCUCUGGAAAACAAUUCAAAUCAGAAUCUGGCAACACUUGAGCAUUCCCUGCGUGUGUACAGCAAGGAUGAAAACUGUCACCUGCACACGCAAAACCAAUAUAAUAUAAAAGACUUUCUGGAGAAAAUUGUGCAUUGUGUUGACGUCGCCUUGAACAACAAGAGCAUCAUAUGUCCACAUCAUAUUAAAUGAAGAGUUAUCCCCAAGUUUAUUGCAACUGUAAAUAUAUUUAUGGACUUAUUUAAUGACAUAUUUAUUACUUUUUUCACGUUUUCUAUUUAUAUACAAAUAAAUUAAAACAAAAAGGAGCACUUGUCAUUACUUUGAUUUUUACACCUAUUGAUGUGUGUUUGUGUAUUUAUUACUCAUUACUGCCAUCAGUGUGUAACGUUUAUGGGAUAAUUAUGAACUUCAGCCAGGCAUGUUAAUGAUUUAGACAUGUGAUCACUGGAUUUAUAGCCUAUCUUUAUCUCUUUAUUUAAAAUUAAUGUGUGCAUCAGUCGCAUGCUUCUUACCAAUAUAAAUGAUUAAAUUAUUAAAUGUUUUUUAAAACAUGUCAUUCAUAAAUAAACAAACAGGGCCUGCCUGAGUAGAGCGUAGGCUUCUUUGUCUGCCUGAGAAAGCGGUCUGUUGAUGGUGACCACUUCCCACGCAGGAAAGCAGAAACAGCCCAUUUGUAGCACCUCAUCCCUCUUUGAGCCACCUCUCUGCGGGGCAACCCCCGGUUCAUUUACUGAC